AGCUACGUUCGGAAGGGAUAAGCGCUGAAAGCAUAUAAGCGCGAAACCCACCACAAGAUGAGAUUUCUUUAAAGGGCCGUGGAAGAUUACCACGUCGAUAGGCCAUAGGUGUAAAGGCAGCAAUGUCAUAGCCGAGUGGUACUAAUAGCCCAUAGGCUUAUUGUA
This 165-nucleotide ribosomal RNA is filed under the name Gelidibacter pelagius. RNAcentral's name for it is "partial 23S ribosomal RNA". It matches the Rfam family "Bacterial large subunit ribosomal RNA", at positions 2747 to 2925 of the family's 2925-position model. Lineage: Bacteria; Pseudomonadati; Bacteroidota; Flavobacteriia; Flavobacteriales; Flavobacteriaceae. The record is from RNAcentral.